Molecule: ribosomal RNA, 465 nt
Filed under: uncultured Klebsiella sp.
Lineage: Bacteria; Pseudomonadati; Pseudomonadota; Gammaproteobacteria; Enterobacterales; Enterobacteriaceae
Description: bacterial SSU rRNA
Rfam family: Bacterial small subunit ribosomal RNA
Source: RNAcentral
CCUACGGGGGGCUGCAGUGGGGAAUAUUGCACAAUGGGCGCAAGCCUGAUGCAGCCAUGCCGCGUGUGUGAAGAAGGCCUUCGGGUUGUAAAGCACUUUCAGCGGGGAGGAAGGCGGUGAGGUUAAUAACCUCAUCGAUUGACGUUACCCGCAGAAGAAGCACCGGCUAACUCCGUGCCAGUAGCCGCGGUAAUACGGAGGGUGCAAGCGUUAAUCGGAAUUACUAGGCGUAAAGCGCACGCAGGCGGUCUGUCAAGUCGGAUGUGAAACCCCCGGGCUCAACCUGGGAACUGCAUUCGAAACUGGCAGGCUAGAGUCUUGUAGAGGGGGGUAGAAUUCCAGGUGUAGCGGUGAAAUGCGUAGAGAUCUGGAGGAAUACCGGUGGCGAAGGCGGCCCCCUGGACAAAGACUGACGCUCAGGUGCGAAAGCGUGGGGAGCAAACAGGAUUAGAUACCCGGGUAGUC